RNAcentral lists this ribosomal RNA (505 nucleotides) under uncultured bacterium. RNAcentral's name for it is "partial 16S ribosomal RNA". It matches the Rfam family "Bacterial small subunit ribosomal RNA", at positions 29 to 523 of the family's 1533-position model. The record is from RNAcentral.
AGUGAACGCUGGCGGUAGGCCUAACACAUGCAAGUCGAACGGCAGCACAGGAGAGCUUGCUCUCUGGGUGGCGAGUGGCGGACGGGUGAGGAAUACAUCGGAAUCUACUUUUCGUGGGGGAUAACGUAGGGAAACUUACGCUAAUACCGCAUACGACCUACGGGUGAAAGCAGGGGAUCUUCGGACCUUGCGUGAUUGAAUGAGCCGAUGUCGGAUUAGCGAGUUGGCGGGGUAAAGGCCCACCAAGGCGACGAUCCGUAGCUGGUCUGAGAGGAUGAUCAGCCACACUGGAACUGAGACACGGUCCAGACUCCUACGGGAGGCAGCAGUGGGGAAUAUUGGACAAUGGGCGCAAGUCUGAUCCAGCCAUACCGCGUGGGUGAAGAAGGCCUUCGGGUUGUAAAGCCCUUUUGUUGGGAAAGAAAUCCAGCUGGUUAAUACCCGGUUGGGAUGACGGUACCCAAAGAAUAAGCACCGGCUAACUUCGUGCCAGCAGCCGCGGUAA